AAAGAAUUACUUCUGCUGGCGUCUGGCUGCUCUUCGUAUCCUGCUCACUAUCACAGCAGGAUACGAAGAGCAGCCAGACGCCAGCAGAAGUA
Pelobates cultripes (western spadefoot toad) is the source of this 92-nucleotide non-coding RNA. The record is from the annotation of a GenBank genome assembly. NCBI's taxonomy places the organism in Eukaryota, Metazoa, Chordata, Amphibia, Anura, Pelobatidae.